Molecule: ribosomal RNA, 294 nt
Filed under: bacterium enrichment culture clone ALO1_GLFRUDD03FSI1I
Lineage: Bacteria
Description: partial 16S ribosomal RNA
Rfam family: Bacterial small subunit ribosomal RNA
Source: RNAcentral
GAGUUUGAUCAUGGCUCAGAGCGAACGCUGGCGGCAUGCUUAACACAUGCAAGUCGCACGGUCAGCAAUGGCAGUGGCGGACGGGUGAGUAACACGUAGGAAUCUAUCUCUGGGUGGGGGACAACAGGUGGGAAACUACUGCUAAUACCGCAUGAUACCCUGAGGGUCAAAGGCGUAAGUCGCCUGGAGAGGAGCCUGCGUCUGAUUAGCUUGUUGGUGGGUAAAGGCCUACCAAGGCUACGAUCGAGUAGCUGGUCUGAGAGGAUGAUCAGCCACAUUGGGACUGAGACACGG